GCACUUUCCACUUUAUAAUCUUAUUUUUUGUUAAUCUCGUUUCCUUGUUCUAGUGAAAAAUUUUUUUAUAUUUUUCGUGCCUGACAUGGUGGGGGCGGUUCGAUAAGUAUUUGUUCAAAGAAAGUACAGCUAACUCUGCGAUGUGGGGUACUUAGAUGAGAAAACCGAGAUGCACUGAGGUUAAGUGACAAGACGAAGGUCCUCUAGCUAAUGACUCAGCUUAUUCUAUAGCCUCAAUCCCUUUCCCAACCACCAGACUGCCUUCUACUCUGAGCUGUCUAAGUCCUCUUCUUCUGUCCAUCAUGUCACUGGCUGAUGCGGAAGGGUUUGGGCUCGUCAUCAGAACUGGGAUAAAGGAUCCUAGCUGAGCCAUUCCUGAUGCUCCGAUUAAUGCACGCCUCAACAAACAUGCCACCAUCCAGAGGCCACCUGAAAGGAUGUUGAAACUGCAAGCACCACGAAUGACCUCUUUGGAGCUGGCAGAACUAUUUGGGAUAAUCCCAACUUAUUUAGACCGCAGAGAUUUCUAAACGAAAACAGGAAAUGAAAGUCUUGAGGACGAAAUGUUGAUAUUUGGAACGGGGCUCUGGAAAUGUCUAGGGGAAGAUAUUGCAUAAAACGAGAUAUGCAUUUUCAUCACUCCAAUGGCUCGAGCUGAAGAAA
This 663-nucleotide long non-coding RNA is filed under the name Ursus maritimus (polar bear). Its description in RNAcentral is "lncRNA (ENSUMAG00000022066.1)". Lineage: Eukaryota; Metazoa; Chordata; Mammalia; Carnivora; Ursidae. The record is from RNAcentral.